RNAcentral lists this long non-coding RNA (1153 nucleotides) under Hordeum vulgare. RNAcentral describes it as "long non-coding RNA (HVUL_LNC013683)". The record is from RNAcentral. Lineage: Eukaryota; Viridiplantae; Streptophyta; Magnoliopsida; Poales; Poaceae.
CCAACUGCUGGCUAUAAGCCAUCUUAUAGCCCACCUUAUAGCUAGCUUGUACAAUAGUUAGCUACAAAAGAGUACUAUUUUUAUCAUAUAUGGCCCACUUUUCAUUCUCACAAAACACCUAGGAAUACGUGCUAGAGCUGGCUGUUCACGAAGAGCCCGCUUCCCUUCUCUCUCCUCUUCUCUCUCUCAUCCAACUCAGUAAAAAUAUAGUAUUUUAAUCCUUACAGUCUGCUGACUGUACCUUAUUAUACUUGCUCUAAGAGACGAAGCAACACAUGAGAGUUGAGAAUUCUGGAUGAUUUCCAAUAUGUCGAGAGAUGAGAUCGACUAAGGCUCAUUGCGUCUGCUAUCUAUCUAUCUGUAACAGUAAGUAUGGAUUAUUAUGGUUGUCUUGUUUUUGUGUCGAAUGACCGAUCAAAUUCAUACCGACAUGUAGAUGUUCUAUUCUCCCGUCCCGUUGUGUACACUGUCAAUUAACUGAGAAAAAAAUUAAUAUGCGGACGACUAGGUUCCUUCAUCUCCCUCGAAGAAUAAAUCUUCGCUGAUUUAAGUCCCCAUUGAUUCUUUUCAUCUUCCCAGUAUUUCUAUCUCUCUCUCUCCAUUACUGACCCAAGCCUUCGAGGGAACGCCAUUGCAAUCAGCGCUGCCACCUCGAACGCGACAACUUCCGUCCGACCGGUCAGGCCUCCGACGAGCACUACAUCAUCAGCAAGUCGCUGACGCCGGUCGAGAUCUUCGAGCUCCCCAAGAAAUGCACCCUCAUACUGGUGCUCACGGGCUAGUGCGUGGUCUUCGCGAGCGCUGCGGCCUCUACGACACAGACUCCGGCACUAGAUACUCCUACCCGUCCGAUGGUCAAGGCCGAGCCCGAGUUCCCCGACCAGUGUAUGGGAGGAAGGGUUGGUAGGCGUAAAGGGAUGGAGGGCCUCCAGCUGCUACACGUUGGAUUCCACAUGAAGGUUUUUCUGUUCUGUUUUUUCAGAAAAAAAUGAGCAAAAGAAUCGGGACAAAGCAACCCAUGUUUAUCUCUCAAUUUUCUGAUAGUAGGAUCCUGCUAUCUCUCCGACCUUGCAAAGCAAAUGGGUUGGCAAAUAUAUGUCUCCAAAUAUACUCAUUUUACUUCUCAGUUUUUACUGUUUGAGAAGCACUUCGG